GCGCUCAUGGUGUGGAAAAGGUGACCGCCUAACAAGCGGGGGGUCGUUGGUUCGAACCCAACCGUGCCCAC
Molecule: transfer RNA, 71 nt
Filed under: Dactylosporangium siamense
Lineage: Bacteria; Bacillati; Actinomycetota; Actinomycetes; Micromonosporales; Micromonosporaceae
Description: tRNA-Val
Source: RNAcentral